GUGUCAGCCGCCGCGGUAAUACGGAGGGAGCUAGCGUUAUUCGGAAUUACUGGGCGUAAAGCGUACGUAGGCGGCUUUGCAAGUUAGAGGUGAAAGCCUGGAGCUCAACUCCAGAACUGCCUUUAAAACUGCAUCGCUUGAAUCCAGGAGAGGUGAGUGGAAUUCCGAGUGUAGAGGUGAAAUUCGUAGAUAUUCGGAAGAACACCAGUGGCGAAGGCGGCUCACUGGACUGGUAUUGACGCUGAGGUACGAAAGCGUGGGGAGCAAACAGGAUUAGAAACCCUCGUAGUCC
RNAcentral lists this ribosomal RNA (292 nucleotides) under uncultured bacterium. RNAcentral's name for it is "partial 16S ribosomal RNA". It matches the Rfam family "Bacterial small subunit ribosomal RNA", at positions 505 to 796 of the family's 1533-position model. The record is from RNAcentral.